This is a non-coding RNA of Ictidomys tridecemlineatus (thirteen-lined ground squirrel), 7523 nucleotides long. NCBI's taxonomy places the organism in Eukaryota, Metazoa, Chordata, Mammalia, Rodentia, Sciuridae. The record is from RefSeq and is a predicted model, not a curated record.
UUAUUUAUUUAUUGUUAUAUGGUGCUGAGGAUCAAAUCCAGGGCCUCCCACGUGCUAGGUGAGCGCUCUACCACUGAGCCACAAUCCCAGCCCCUCACAGAUUCUUUAAAUGGGCAGAACAGUUUCAGUUAUAGAAUUUAAGCAAGAUUUUAAGGAACUGUAACUAAUUAUAUCUUGAUAUUAAUGAAUUCCACAGGUGGAAAGGCUGUUGGGAUGAUGCAUUAAAAUAUGACCUUCAUUACCAUCCUAGAUCAAAGAUAUGACAUAACAUGGGGUUUAAAAAAGUAGAAGUCACUGAGGGUAGGAGGCUGUGCAUUAAAUGGUAUCCUGUAAGCCAUUUGUAGCCUAGGUAAACCUUUAGCCAGCCCUCACUAUUUAAUUUAUAUAUACUAAUUUCUCUUCUAGAGAAUUUGGAAUAGUAGGUAGAUAAUAAUUCAAACAGAACAAAUAAUAAUAAGGUAAAACACCAGUUUUCCAGAAAAGAGUAAAAAUAUAAGGUGAGAAAAUUUCAGUGGUGAAUUAAAUAUCUAUUUCAUUUAGGAGUAGAAAAAAAGUAGAAAAAUAUUAUGAAAGUCCUAAAUUGUAGUAAUGCAAAAUUCAGUUCAAAUGCACUUUGUUAAUUGGUAAAUGAUAUUGUGGAAUCUUAAGCUUAGAUACAAUAAAUCAAUUUAUUUUAAUAGACAUUAAACCUUGGGAAAUGACCCAGAGAAGAAAUUAAAACUGUUCUACAUGUGACUAAUAUAAAAACUAUUUAUUGCAAUAGUUGACUUAAUUUUCAGUUGAUACUCUGGUCUGUCUUCUUGACUAACCCCAGAUAUUUAAAUAGUUGAUUAUCACACAAUUUAAAAGCCAUAAGAAAUUAAAAAUGGCCAUUUUUAUAUUAGCCAUCAAGAGUUGUAUGUUUUUAGUUGAUGUCUAGUAUGAAAAUAUUAGCAGUGCUGAUAGUAGGCAGGCUUAAAUGCCACACUCUUUAGCAAUGGCCUGAGAAUCAAAUUAUCCUGGAAGCAAAGGGAGCUUUACCUUCAGAGCUGUUCAUGUGCAGACCUCUCACAAUUUUUGAUUUUAAAUAUACAAGUUCAUACCUAAUUUUUGUAUGAAUAAUUUUUAGUUUCAUUUUCUAAAGGCAGCGUCCCAAAUUGUAAAAGUGCAGGCCUUAUCAUCUUGGAUCCACCCUAAUAACCUAAGUGAAUUAAAACACUGGCAGGCAGGCUAGGUCAUUCCACAUGUGUUAUUGUCCGUCUUAUAAGAGGUGUCCUCCCAAAGCUCCUGUUAAUGCAGGAAUAUUCAGAGGUAAAUGACCAGAUUAUGAGAGCUGUAACAUAAUCAGUACAUCCUAGUUUGAACAGACUGCCUGGGUGGUAGCUGUAGCGGCUGGGGCAUGGGUCAUUGGGGGCAUGCCCUGGAAGUUCUUACUUUGGCUCCUCCUUUGUCUCUCUGCUUCCAGAACCUCCCAUGAGCUGAACAGUUUUCCUCUGCUGGGCCCUUCUCCCAGGAAGUGCUACCUCACCUUUGGUUCAGAGAAUGGAGUCAACUGUAUAGGCAGGCUGAGACCUCUGAAACUGAGCCCCAGGUGUGAUGAGCACUUGACCUCAUUGUGCUCAGCUGGUAAGUAUCCAGGAUCCAUUUUAUUUACCUUGCUCAUUGGCUAAACAAAUGUAUCUGCCAUCUCAAUUUGAAGCUCUGAGACCCUGGUACAAGUCCUCUGCUAGAAUAGACUACAUUUAUAUCAACACAUCUUCUAUAACUGGAUAAAAAUUUUAAAUAUAAGUUACUCCUAAGACUUUAAACUAGGCUGGAAUUGUGGCUCAGUGGUAGAACACUUGCCUAGCAUGUGUGAGGCACCACAUACCAAUAAAUAAAUAAAUAAAAUUAAAAAAUCAUCAACAACUAAUAAAAAAUGCUAAAAAAGACUUUGAAUAUUGUUCAAUUCCAAAGAAUUACCAAACUGUGCUGCCAAAAAGUUAUUUAAAAUGAUAAUAAUUUAAUAGAAGGCUCAAAAAUCUCUAAGACUCCAAUCUUAAGUAGUCAAGGUCUGUUAUAUUAAAACAAAAUCCUACAAAUGCCUACAGGCUAUCAAAAAUCUUAAGCGUUGCACAAAAAUAUGAAUUAAUCAUUGUCUGUGAGCUGUUACGAUAUUAUUAAGCACUUAUGUGCUAAAGGUUUCAUAGGCACUGGCUCAUUUAAUCCCCACAUUUUAGAAACUUGCCCAGGGUCACUCAGGUAAUAAUUAUUAAUGGUGGAGUCAGGUCUUGACCCAAAGUCUGUCAGACACCAAAGCAAACUCUUUACAAGGAACUAUAAUUCUUCUUAUAAAACCUUUCAUUUGGUUUAGAAAAUCAGAUUCAAAAUAGAACUAUCUUUCUUAACUGAAUUUUAUUCUUUUUAAGAAAUAUUGUAAUACAUUUUAAGAAGAAUAAGUAGCACAGUAUAUGACAAUGUGCUCUAGAUCCUGAAGUAUUACAUUUUAACUUUACUUCAUUUGUAUCAUUUAUUUUUAACUGAUGCAUAAUAUGUGCCUAUUAGAACAUUUAUUACUUGUGUUGGGAGCCAUUGAACUCCUCUCUUCUAGUUUUUCAUAAAACAUAUAAUAAAUUACUGUAAACCAGUCAAACAUAUAUGGAAUUUUGUAUCAAAAAAGUUUUUGGUACCAGGGAUUGAACCCAGAGGUACUUAACCACUUUAUUUAGAGACUUAGCGCUUGUUGAGGCUGGCUUUGAACUUGAGAUUCUCCCACCCCAGCCUCCCUAGCUGCUGGGGUUAUAGGUGUGGGCCACUGUGCCUUGUUGUAUCAAAAUUUUAAAUAAAUAAAACAUACCAAAUAUAGUAAAAAAUAAGUCCCCUCUUUGCCCUUCCCUCCUCCUUUACCUUUCCCUAGAGGUACCCACUGUGCUGAAGUUGCUGUGGCUUCUUCCAGCUCAUAUUUUUAUACUUCUAUUAAUGGUUAUGCAUCCUUUGUUUUUAAAAUUUCCAGAAACAUAUGUUACUCUAACAACCUUUAGCAAUCUUUUUUUUUCUAAUUGUGUUUCAAAUUUACCUGUUUGUGUAACUAGCUUUCCGUUCCCUACUAAUCAUAUGCUUUACUGCUUUCUCUUGCAUGAAUGUGCUGUGGCUUGUUUCACCCAUCAAUGCUGCAAAUGCUGCCCUCAUUUCCCCCCAUUAUAACGGAUGCUUCUUUCACUAGCUGAACAGGAAUAAUCCCACUUCUCUGCAACUAAAUCAAAUUUUGGUAUUUUUAAAUGUUUGUAUGUAAAGUAAGGUAAUGUUACCUUGUUACAGUUUUAAUUUAUAGUUCCAUGAUUGCUAGUGAGGUGUACCAUCUUUUGUAUGUCCUAAGCCAUCUUCUUCUAUGAACUAUUUAUAUUCUGUCAAAUUUCUGUAAAUCUAAAACUGGACUUUUAAAUUGAAAAUCCACUGAUUUUUUGAAAGAUUGUUUGAAUGAGCUCAUUUUAAAUUCUGUACAGUAAACUUUUGUAAGUUAUCUGUACUACAAAGAUAUUCUCUCAGUUUGUGUGGCUUAUUGUAUAUAGCAGGCUGAAUAACCCCUCCCUACUCCCUCUUCAAAAUCCUAAUUCUACAAAUACAGUGUGUUAUCUAACACAGUAAAUGGAACUUCAAAGAAAGAUAAAGAAUUAAGGAUCUUAAGACAGGGACAUCAGUCUGGAUUAUUCAGGUAAAUACAUAUAGCCACAGGUAUCCCUGUAACAGAGAGACAGGAGGGUCAUAAGAGCGAAUUUGGAGGGAUGCACUUUGAAGAUGGAGAAGGCAUACAGUCAGGAAAAGCAGCUGGCCUCUGGAAGCUGGAAAAGGUAAACCAAUGCAUUAGCCCCUAAAUAUUCCUAGGAAGAACAAUACCUUCAAUUUACCUGCAAGCUUCUGACAACCAUAACUAUAAGGUAUCAUAUUUCUGCUGUUUUAAGCUAGUAAAUCUGUAGUAAUUUUGUUACAUCAGUGCUAUGCUUUGAAUGUCCCCACCAAAACUCAUGUUGAAAUUUGAUUCUCAACCUCAGGCCCUCAAAGGCUUGAACCUCAAUCCAACUAUGGUAUUUGGAGGUGGUUAAAGUGAAAUAAAACCAUAAGGGUGCAGCCCUAAACCAAUAGGACUGUGGCUUUAUAAGAGGAGGAGGAGAGACCUGAGCUAGGGAGCUCAGUUCCUCUCCCCAUGCGAUGCUGUGCACUGUCUUGGGUCUCUGCAGAGUCCCAACCAGAAAAGACAAUUAUCAGACGUGGCUGUAUCUUGAGCUUUCCAACUUUCAGAAGAACCAUAAGCCAAGUAAAUUUUUAUAUAUAUAAAUUACCAUGUCUGGGGUGUUCAGUUAUAGCAACAGAAAAUAAAUUGGGACGAGCAGCAACAAGAAACUACUAUGCUUUUUCUUACUAACCAAUGCUUUUUGUGUUUAAAAGAAAUUGAUCCUAUUUCAAGAUCAUUAGAAUAGUUUCCUAUGUUUUCCUUUAAGUUGUAAGGUUUACUUCCCACUUUUAGGUUGUGUUUCAAGUUCAGUAAUGUUCUAACUAUCGUUUUCCAUAACUAUACUAACACCAUUAGUAUAUAUAUUAUGAACUGUUAAAUAAAUGGUGUUAGUAUAGAGUCAACUAUACUAACACCAUUUAUUUAACAGUUCAUAAUAGCUACAUUGUAAGGCUCUCUGUGUCAUCUUCCAUGUUUUGGUAUUAUGUAAGGUAGUUUCUAUGCUACUUAUCCUAUUCCACUGUUUCACAGGUCUUUCCUUGCACUAGUACCCAAAACCUUAAUUAUUACUGCUGCAUAAUAACUAUGCAUUUGCUAAGAUAAUUAAUCCUACCUGUUAUUCUAAAAAUUAUUGUCAUGAUUCUGGACCCAUUCUUUUACAAAUUAAUUGUAGGAUAAUUAGCUAUUAAUUGUGUUGUGUGUUUUGUCAUGUUUUAUCCACCCCCACCACCAAAAUAGACAAAAAGUUGUAAACACUUUGGAAGUGUAUUGAUUUGGGGGGAAUCAUACCUUUGAAAUUAUUGUCUUUUCAUCUAAAACACAAUCUUACUCCACCUUUUUAUGUACUUUAGAUACAGCUUUUAUAAUUUGCUUCAGAAAGGGCUUAUUGUCUUAUAUUAGGUUUAUUCCUAUGUACCCUAUAGUUUAAUUGCUACUUUUCUUGUAUCUAUCUACUUUAAGUAUACACAUUAAUCCCAAUAACUUAUUUGUAGAUGCUCUUGACAGUCUUGUUUUUUCCACUAUACUUUUCUUUUUGUUUUUUGUUUGUUUCAAUCUUAUAAAUUGGCCAGGACUGCAGAGUACUGUGGAGCACAGGUGGUGAUAGCAAAGACCUUUGUCUUCUGCCUGAAUUUAAAGGAACUGCUUCAAAUGUCUCACUAGCAGGGGGAUGUUUACUGUGGAUUUAUGCUGGUGUUCAUGUUCACAAUGUAUAAAAUCAUACUUUUGAUGAUAUAUGGGUUCAGUUUAAUAUCAACCAAAUUCUUCUACUCUUUAUAAACUCACAGCAUCCUUUUGUUCUAGGGCUGGAUUUUAAAGUCUUCCAAUAUUUGGGGCUGUGUCUCUUAUUCAGUACUCUUGCAGAGAAUGAAUCACUCUUGUUAACUCUUAUUACACCUCUUAAGAUCAUUUAUGUCAUCAGUCAUAAUUUCAUAUUCAGGUUUUCUACAGUCUCUUGUUAUGUUUCUUUGACUCUGUCUGCUUAUAGCUGCCAAGACAGGAUUAUUACUUCAAAGAAGGCCAAACUUCUAUGCCAAACCACCAUAGAGACAUCAGAGAAGCAACGUGCAGACUAUUGCUCCCAUGGCAACACAAUAAAAGCAAGUUACUGAACACACUAUUGGGCCAAUAUUUAUUAUGCCUUACACUGUAGUUUGAAGCAUUCACUUCCUUCUUGGAUCAAUCAAGAGUUGUUUAGGUUUCCUGCUCUCAUUUAUUAUGUACCCAUUAUUCUUUUAUUAUCCAGUUUGUCUUUAAAGCAUUUCAUUAGUAGCUGGCAGCUGUAAAUUAUGGUUUUUGAAAAAACAAACAAACAAACAAAAUACUUUUCCACCCUCCUCUGACUUCCAAAUCUACCAGUAUAACAUUGUAUGUAGAUAAGAUACAAAUCCACUGCAAGUUCAAAGUACAACCCCUCUUAUGGAAAGAACUGAAGUAGACCAACAAAUUGUAUACAAGUACUGCUUACAUAAUUUUAGGCAAGAAUAAAUUAGCUUACUUAGUGUAUUUAUUAAUGGAUUCUUGACAUCUUUAUGGGCCAUGUGCUAAGGAGAGGUGACCAAAAUGUGAAAGAACUUAAGCUACAAAUAAAUACAGAACUUGCCUUAAAUGACUUUACAGGUUCCAUAGUUGUGAUAAAAGUAGAAAGUGAAAAGCAUCUUGAGAUUCAGUGAAAGAAUAUUCAGGGAAGAUAAAUAUCACUUCAAGAAACUGUCUCAGGAGGCUGAGACAGGAGGAUCAGAAGUUCAAAGCCAGCUUCAGCAAAAGCAAGUUGCUAAGCAACUCAGUGAGACCCUGUCUCUAAAUAAAAUAAAAAAUAGGGCUAGGGAUAUGGCUCAGUGGUUGAGUGCCCCUGAGUUCAAUCCCCAAUUACCACCUCCCCCACCCCAAAAAAUAAAAGAGAGAGAAAGAAAUGUGGAUCACUGAAAGGUUCUUAGAACUGGAGUCCUUUGAAUUAGGUCUUAAAUGAUUAAAAGAGGAGAAAGAAAAAAAGGUGUUUUAUGUUUCCACAUAAGUGAUACAAAAUAAGAGAUAGUUAAAGCAAGGCAUUGGGAGGGGGCAGUGGUAGCUUUGUAAACAGGACACAUGAAGGAGAAUGAGAAAUAAUAUUGGGAAAAGUAGGUUGGACUAGACUUUAUUAGAAGGUUAUAAGUUCAAAGCUGCAAACAGGAAGAACUGAAGAAGAAAGGGCCCAAAGGAAUAAAAUUAGUGAAGUGACAAUAACAAUAGUUUGGAAAAGACAGAAUAAAGCUCUAAACUUAAGAUAAUGGAAAAAAAACAUUACGUAGGUACACACACCCACACCCACACCCACACACACACCCCUCCAUCUCUAUUCAAUGCUUAGCUACUAAUUGUGUGUUAGAAAUCAUGAAAAAGGUAGAAUCAAAGGUGAAUACUAGUUUUAUGAGCAGAUGAUGGAGUAAUAGCAAAUGUAUUCAACAGAAAUAGGGAAUAAAAGAUGAAAAAAUCUAAAAGGGAAAAUGGGAUACUGCUGGAACUUACUGAGAAAGACCCACUUGGAAUCUAGGAAUGGGACUCAGGAAAUAGGAGACUUCCUGCUUACUCUAUAGAUCUGGGAAUCAUGUGCAUUGACAGAGGAACAGAGGUGAGAGCCAAAGUUAUGAUAAUGGGAAUUUCCAGGUACAAGAAAGAAAAGGCCAAGAACAGAUCUUUGGAAAUUUCUAUACUUUGAGGGUCCAGGAGAAAGAAGACAUUUGAAUUUGAUGAUAGUGGGCUCACUGUGCUAUGUAAUUCUCCUUUAAUUUUGUGUUAAGUAGUUAGCACAGAUUUGGUACCCGGUAGUGGUUAAUACUUGAAUAAACAGAUAUGAAAUGCA